GCCAGGGGCUGGGGCGGGGGCGGGGGCGGGGGCGGGGGCCGGCGGUGGGGUGGGGCCGCGCCCUCGGCCACUCCCCGGGGCGACCGGGCGGCUCCACACGCGCUGCGCCAGCCGCCGGCCCCACGCGCGGCCCAUGUCCUCCGCGCCGCGCUCGCCCACCCCGCGGCCCCGCAGGAUGAAGAAGGACGAGUCGUUCCUGGGCAAGCUGGGCGGCACCCUGGCCAGGAAGCGGAGGGCGCGCGAGGUGAGUGACCUGCAGGAAGAAGGCAAGAAUGCCAUCAACUCACCGAUGUCCCCCGCCCUGGCAGAUGUUCACCCUGAAGACACCCAGCUCGAGGAGAACGAGGAGCGCACGAUGAUCGACCCCACGUCCAAGGAAGACCCCAAGUUCAAGGAACUGGUCAAGGUCCUCCUCGACUGGAUUAACGACGUGCUGGUGGAGGAGAGGAUCAUUGUGAAGCAGCUGGAGGAAGACCUGUACGACGGCCAGGUGCUGCAGAAGCUCUUGGAAAAACUGGCAGGAUGCAAGCUGAAUGUGGCUGAGGUGACACAGUCCGAAAUAGGGCAGAAACAGAAGCUGCAGACGGUGUUGGAAGCAGUACAUGACCUGCUGCGGCCCCGCGGCUGGGCGCUCCGGUGGAGCGUGGACUCAAUUCAUGGGAAGAACCUGGUGGCCAUCCUCCACCUGCUGGUCUCUCUGGCCAUGCACUUCCGGGCCCCCAUCCGCCUUCCUGAGCAUGUAACGGUGCAGGUGGUGGUCGUGCGGAAGCGGGAAGGCCUGCUGCAUUCCAGCCACAUCUCGGAGGAGCUGACCACAACCACAGAGAUGAUGAUGGGCCGGUUCGAGCGGGAUGCCUUCGACACGCUGUUCGACCACGCCCCGGAUAAGCUCAGCGUGGUGAAGAAGUCUCUCAUCACUUUUGUGAACAAGCACCUGAACAAGCUGAAUUUGGAGGUGACGGAACUGGAGACCCAGGACCUCCCCCUUCAGACUCUCCAGGGGCAGCUAACUGCAGUUCAUGUUUGCAGACGGCGUGUACCUGGUUCUGCUCAUGGGCCUUCUGGAAGACUAUUUUGUUCCUCUCCACAACUUCUACCUGACUCCGGAAAGCUUCGAUCAGAAGGUCCAUAAUGUGUCCUUUGCCUUUGAGCUGAUGCUGGACGGAGGCCUCAAGAAACCCAAGGCUCGUCCUGAAGACGUGGUGAACUUGGACCUCAAAUCCACCCUGAGGGUUCUUUACAACCUGUUCACCAAGUACAAGAACGUGGAGUGAUGGAGGACCUGUGGACGGUGGCAGGAGUAUCCCAGCAAGAAAGGCGACAUCUGUCUGUGCCCUGUGCCUUUGCAGGGAGCCGGGUGCCAUGGGCUUCUGGUCCAAACUGUGUUGACUGUCAUCCCCACCCCACCCCUACCUCACGCCCGCACCACCCCCUGCCUCUUUUGGUGGUGGUUCUUAAUCUUCUUUCCAUGUAAUUCCCAGUGGGCAAGAGCCUUUGAAAAUGCAGGAUUCUAAACACCCGUGCUUGCGUUUGAGGCCUCGCAUCACUCAGUUGCGUGGGAUGGAGUCCGUUAUUGUCUGCCUUGGCUGAAAGAUGGAAAAAAGCCUGAAGCCCAACCCACAGCUAGUUGAGAGCACCCUGCAUUCCACCUGAUGGUGCAAUUAGCGGUCACAGGCCUUCAGAAGUACAACAUCAGCUCAGCAGGAAUGCCAGCUCCCCGAGGACCCGGGCUUGAUGAUUCACCAGGGAUCACCUGGGCUGGGCUCGCCUUCGAAGUGAUGCCUAUUUAAUAAAAGGAUUUUGCAGUUUGAAAAACUUUAAA
Macaca mulatta (Rhesus monkey) is the source of this 1822-nucleotide non-coding RNA. Lineage: Eukaryota; Metazoa; Chordata; Mammalia; Primates; Cercopithecidae. The record is from RefSeq and is a predicted model, not a curated record.